CAUGCAAGUCGUACGGGAGCACCGGAGCUUGCUCCUGGUGGUGAGUGGCGGACGGGUGACGUAUACCUCGGUGCGCUCUCUUGUGUGGGGGGACACCGUGCGGAAAGUUACGGUUAUACCGCAUAUUCUGUGAGCAGGAAAGCAGGAGAUCGCAAGACCUCGCGCUCUUGGAGCGGCCGAUGUGGGAUUAGCUAGAUGGUGAGGUAAAAGCUGACCAAGGCGACGAUCCGAAGGAGGACUGAGAGGAUGAUCUGCCACACUGGGACUGAGACUCCGCCCAGACUCCUACGGGAGGCAGUGUGGCGAUUUUUGGACAACGGGCGCAACCCUGAUCCAGGCAUGCCGCGUGAGUGAAGAAGGCCAUCGGCUUGUAUAGCUCUUUCGGCGGGGAAGAAUUGGCAACGGCUAAUAUCCCUUGUUCUGGACCGUACCCGCAUAAGAAGCACCGGCUAACUACGUGCCACCAGCCGCGGUAAUACGUAGGGUGCGAGCGUUAAUCGGAAUUACUGGGGGUAAAGCGUGCGCAGGCGUUUUCG
This 536-nucleotide ribosomal RNA is filed under the name uncultured bacterium. Its description in RNAcentral is "bacterial SSU rRNA". It matches the Rfam family "Bacterial small subunit ribosomal RNA", at positions 54 to 583 of the family's 1533-position model. The record is from RNAcentral.